CCUUACAUUGGGGGAUAGCCUUUCGAAAGGGAGAUUAAUACCGCAUAAGACAGUAGCUGGGCAUCCAGCAGCUGUUAAAGAUUUAUCGAUGUAAGAUGGGCAUGCGUCCAAUUAGUUAGUUGGCGAGGUAAUGGCUCACCAAGACUUUGAUUGGUAGGGGAACUGAGAGGUCAAUCCCCCACACUGGCACCGAGAUACGGGCCAGACUCCUACGGGAGGCAGCAGUAGGGGAUAUUGGGCAAUGGACGCAAGUCUGACCCAGCCAUGCCGCGUGCAGGAUGAAGGCGUUAUGCGUUGUAAACUGCUUUUAUACAGGAAGAAACGACUCUUGCGAGAGGCAUUGACGGUACUGUAUGAAUAAGCACCGGCUAACUCCGUGCCAGCAGCCGCGGUAAUACGGAGGGUGCAAGCGUUGUCCGGAUUUAUUGGGUUUAAAGGGUGCGCAGGUGGUUUAUUAAGUCAGUGGUGAAAGACGGUCGCUCAACGAUUGCAGUGCCAUUGAUACUGGUAGACUUGAGUAAAGUAGAGGUGGGCGGAAUUGAUAGUGUAGCGGUGAAAUGCAUAGAUAUUAUCAAGAACUCCAAUUGCGUAGGCAGCUCACUUGGCUUUUACUGACACUCAUGCACGAAAGUGUGGGUAUCAAACAGGAUUAGAUACCCUGGUAGUCCACACUGUAAACGAUGAUAACUAGGUGUCGGCCGAAUCUGGUCGGUGCCACAGCGAAAGCGUUAAGUUAUCCACCUGGGGAGUACGCCGGCAACGGUGAAACUCAAAGGAAUUGACGGGGGUCCGCACAAGCG
RNAcentral lists this ribosomal RNA (800 nucleotides) under uncultured bacterium. RNAcentral describes it as "bacterial SSU rRNA". It matches the Rfam family "Bacterial small subunit ribosomal RNA", at positions 129 to 931 of the family's 1533-position model. The record is from RNAcentral.